This 370-nucleotide ribosomal RNA is filed under the name uncultured organism. RNAcentral's name for it is "partial 16S ribosomal RNA". It matches the Rfam family "Bacterial small subunit ribosomal RNA", at positions 527 to 896 of the family's 1533-position model. The record is from RNAcentral.
AGAGGGUGCGAGCGUUAAUCGGACUUACUGGGCGUAAAGGGUGCGUAGGUGGUGAAUUAAGUCAGUUGUGAAAGGCCAGGGCUUAACCUUGGAACUGCAAUUGAAACUGGUUGACUAGAGUCGAGUAGAGGGGAGUGGAAUUUCCGGUGUAGCGGUGAAAUGCGUAGAUAUCGGAAGGAACAUCAGUGGCGAAGGCGACUCCCUGGACUCAGACUGACGCUGAGGCACGAAAGCGUGGGUAGCGAACAGGGAUUAGAUACCCUGGUAGUCCACGCUGUAAACGAUGAGUACUAGCUGUUGGUGGCCUUGAGCUAUCAGUAGCGGAGCAAACGCAUUAAGUACUCCGCCUGGGACUACGGCCGCAAGGCUA